UACAGAGGGUGCGAGCGUUGUCCGGAAUCACUGGGCGUAAAGGGCGCGUAGGCGGUCCGGUAAGCGUGUGGUGAAAGCCCGGGGCUCAACCCCGGGUCGGCCAUGCGAACUGCGGGACUGGAGCCGAUCAGAGGCAGGCGGAAUUCCGGGUGUAGCGGUGGAAUGCGUAGAGAUCCGGAAGAACACCGGUGGCGAAGGCGGCCUGCUGGGAUCGAGCUGACGCUGAGGCGCGACAGCGUGGGGAGCAAACAGG
Molecule: ribosomal RNA, 253 nt
Filed under: uncultured bacterium
Lineage: Bacteria
Description: partial 16S ribosomal RNA
Rfam family: Bacterial small subunit ribosomal RNA
Source: RNAcentral